AGAUGAACGAGAUAUUGGUGCGGUUCAAUGACAAAUCAAUGCUUAAAGUGUCUUAAGUUUUGUUUUUCGAUUGAGCCGUGCCAAUAUCACGUGCCACUAC
RNAcentral lists this microRNA precursor (100 nucleotides) under Trifolium pratense (red clover). Lineage: Eukaryota; Viridiplantae; Streptophyta; Magnoliopsida; Fabales; Fabaceae. The record is from RNAcentral.